Molecule: transfer RNA, 71 nt
Filed under: Ictidomys tridecemlineatus (thirteen-lined ground squirrel)
Lineage: Eukaryota; Metazoa; Chordata; Mammalia; Rodentia; Sciuridae
Description: Spermophilus tridecemlineatus (thirteen-lined ground squirrel) tRNA
Rfam family: tRNA
About the family: Transfer RNA (tRNA) molecules are approximately 80 nucleotides in length. Their secondary structure includes four short double-helical elements and three loops (D, anti-codon, and T loops).
Source: Rfam by way of RNAcentral
GGGGUUGUAGCUCAGUGGUAGAGCACUUGCCUAGCAGAGUGAGGCACUGAGUUCGAUUCUCAGCAUCACAU